GACGAACGCUGGCGGCGUGCUUAACACAUGCAAGUCGAACGGAAAGGCCCUGCUUUUGUGGGUUGCUCGAGUGGCGAACGGGUGAGUAACACGUGAGUAACCUGCCCUUGACUUUGGGAUAACUUCAGGAAACUGGGGCUAAUACCGGAUAGGAGCUCCUGCUGCAUGGUGGGGGUUGGAAAGUUUCGGCGGUUGGGGAUGGACUCGCGGCUUAUCAGCUUGUUGGUGGGGUAGUGGCUUACCAAGGCUUUGACGGGUAGCCGGCCUGAGAGGGUGACCGGCCACAUAGGGACUGAGAGACGGCACAGACUCCUACGGGAGGCAGCAGUGGGGAAUAUUGAACAAUGGGCGGAAGCCUGAUGCAGCAACGAAGCGUGCGGGAUGACGGCCUUCGGGUUGUAAACCGCUUUCGCCUGUGACGAAGCGUGAGUGACGGUAAUGGGUAAAGAAGCACCGGCUAACUACGUG
Molecule: ribosomal RNA, 468 nt
Filed under: uncultured bacterium
Lineage: Bacteria
Description: partial 16S ribosomal RNA
Rfam family: Bacterial small subunit ribosomal RNA
Source: RNAcentral